UGCAACGUACUUUAUAAUGGGUGGCUCCCCCCUCCCCCGGCCACUCUUUUUUAUUUUUGCAGUAGUGAGUGGGAAGAUUAGGUAGAGGUUAUGAGUAUUGGCCCCAUGUAUUAAGUGACUCUCUCUCUCUCUCUCUCUCUCUCUCUCUCUCUCUCUCUCUCUCUCUCUUAAACACACGCUAUAUGAUUUUCAAAGAAGUCGAUAUCGAGAAUAUUAAAAUCUGGUAGGUCCCCCCUCUGAAAAAACAGUAGAUUAAAUAGAUAUUGGUAAAUCGGCUGUUUCUUUCGACACGAUUCCUGGAUCCGCCCUUGAUCCUCUCGCUUCUUCAGGAUGCUGAUCGCGCAGACUCCACAUGACGUCAUUUAAGGCAUUUGAAUUUCUUUCAACGCGGAGUGUUGGACGAGUGAAUAUAUUUGAUCAACAUGUUUGCAGCGAUAUAUUAUACCGAUGACAGGAAAAUAGAAGUGGUCCAUUCUAAGAAGUGAAUCGGUUGGAAAAUGCAAACAAACAUUCACAACUUUCAACUUGUUGUAUAGAGACUGUGACAAAGUGUAGCUACUUGAUGAUGCGCGGGGCGGGAGAGUUGGAUUCAGAGACGUGAUGUCGACUACGAUGUGUGUAAACAAAGGUAAGCAUUUCUUUCGUAUAAAUUUCAAGUGCAAUCACAUGGGCCUGUCACGAAUUUGAUCCUUCUCUAUAUAGACUAUACAAUAAAUUAUAGUGCGGGGGCCUAAAUUUUGCAGCCCUUCACCGGCAAUGGUGACGUCUCGAGAGGGAAGUAAAACAUAGCGCAGAUUUCAAUUCACUGCGAUGAUUUACAUGGAUGUCGUUAGACGAAAAUAUCGAGAUUAAAGAUGUGUUUCUUAAUUAGAUCUUAGGAGUCGGCAGUGUUAUCUGUAAUUAAGGGUGUACAAUAUAAAUAACAAACACUAAGCUCUUCGCGAUCGAAGCGACAGGAAUGCAACCCAAUUUUGGCAAAACACAACACGCGGCCCGGUAUGAUUUAACUAAAUAUGACAGUGGAAAUGUCCCACCUGAUUUCUGGAACGACCACGGUAAAUAACGUUGACAAUUUAGAUUUAUGAAACAUUACAAUGUGUAAUAUACAUAAUAUAUUUUUGAAAAUACAUAUUUCUAGACUGACCUGACUACAAUUUUAUUUCUACGUUACAUGAAUGUGGGGAAAAAUACUCGUCUUAUGAUUCUUCUUUUAUUUUAUUUUUUAUUUUUGUAGAUUAAGCUUGAUGAAUCCUACAACUUAACCUGUUAAUAGAUGCGAGCAAGAUUACCAGGCGGCGCCGGACUUGGACUUGUUGCUGCAUUAUUUUACUCCGACAUAUCUGGCAGCACACUCGACAGCAAAUAGAAUACUAUACUGCUAAUUCAAGAAUACUUACAAAAGCAGUUCAAAUGUGAUAAUGCCACACCCCUCAUAAAAAGAAAAUGCUUGGACAUUGCCAGAAGCCCGAAAUUGAUUGAUUCAGUGUUACAUUGAAUUUAUAGGACGUGUACUAGACAUGAAAUCUGCAAAAUGGACUUUUCCUUGUUGUGCCUACAUUUCUUAAAUGUUAACUGUAGCACACUCGUGCUUGUUGCUCCAAUGGAAGCAGCCAUUUCGGGCAUAGUAAGAUCCAGAUUGGACCAGAAACAAUUUUUGUUCCGGAGUUUAAAAGCAGUCGGGGGUUUUGAGUCCAGGUCGGUCGGGCAACAGGAAACGGACAUAAACUUGAAGAAACAGGCUUUAGAGGAAUACACCAAGAAAAUGUAAAAAUGUGAAAGAAAAUUGUAUUUAUGACAUAUAAUACAUUUUGAUGUAUGCUUUCAUCAUUUUGUUGAUGGCAGUGAUCAACUGUUGAAUGUUCAAGUCCAGUUUUAUUUUUCUUAAACAAUGUUGUAGAAUAAGCAGCAAAAAGAAUGUGCAUUUACCUGAUCAUGUACCAUUUGCAUUUCAACUUUCUAUGUAUGUGUUUUUUGCUUCAUUCUAUUUUGUACAAUUCAUGAGUUUGCAUAGAACAUGAGUUGGCACACAUGUGGAAAUUUGUUUUAUUGGUAUUUCAAAUGCCAAGUACAAAAUAAUUUGACUGGUAGUGGGUUGUGAAAACAAAAAAUUGAUUCUAUUUUUCUUUAUUGUUAUAUUUGUAUUUCAUUACAUUGUCAACAAAAUUUCAUUAAGCAGUUUUCCUGUUAAUAGUAAAUAAUUAAAAAAGAAAAGAUUUUUCAAUGGAUUUUUAAUGUAUAUUUAUGAACUAUUAUUUAUUUUUCCAUUGAUUUUACAGUUAAUUUUGAUGUCAUUUAACUGGCUCAAGCUCAUUUACAUAUUUCGCUUAUUUCAAUGAGGUUUCAAUGGAGUUUCACUGCAUUUUCAAUGAAAACUGGAAAAUCACUGGCUCAAGCUCAUUUACAUAAUUCGCGUAUUUCAAUGAGGUUUCAAUUGAGUCUCAAUGGAGUUUCACUGCAUUUUCAAUGAAAACUGGAAAAUCAAUGCUUUUUCUAGGUUAGAAUUGUAUUGUUAGUUUUAUUUGAAUUUGUGAUACUGGUAUAACACUGUUCUUUCAAUGGUCAGAAUAAAACUACAAAAGUAAUGGAAA
Long non-coding RNA from Ostrea edulis (European flat oyster), 2588 nucleotides. RefSeq lists it as uncharacterized. The transcript is spliced from 2 exons. The record is from RefSeq and is a predicted model, not a curated record. Lineage: Eukaryota; Metazoa; Mollusca; Bivalvia; Ostreida; Ostreidae.